RNAcentral lists this long non-coding RNA (1127 nucleotides) under Nicotiana benthamiana. RNAcentral describes it as "long non-coding RNA (NBEN_LNC023598)". The record is from RNAcentral. Lineage: Eukaryota; Viridiplantae; Streptophyta; Magnoliopsida; Solanales; Solanaceae.
UUUUGUUUUCUACCACGCAUGCGUUGUUAUUCUAUUUUCUUCCUACUAUACGUGACUGUUCUGUACCUUUAUACUCUGUUGUGCCUCCAGAUUAGGCUCGCAUGUUAAUCUUUGUUAUGUUUUCCUACAUGUUCUUUGCUAUACUUUCCAGUAUGCUUCUACUGCACGUGUUUCCUGCUGAAUUUUGUUUGCUUUUACUGGACUUUUGAUUAAGUUCUAAGAAUGUUUCCUUUAUUUUUUCUUAAGUUUAUAUCACCCUUCUUCUCUCUUAUGAACUUGCUUAAGUUUCGAGUUUUUUUUAAAACAUGUUCGUUAUGCUUUUAAAUCAACCUUUCACUUUGUCGCUUCAAACCUGCAAUCAUAUCUGUGUGUUUCCUUAUGAGGCUUUGAAAUAGACCUCUGAGUCUAUUUUGAUAGCUUGCCUUCUCUCUGUAUCUGAUUCGAGUUAAAAGCCUAGAAUUUGGGGAUUUCUUUGGCAAGUUCUAUUUUGUGUUUGGAUUGGGGUUCUACUUUGAAACCCUAAACUCUCAGACUCAUUCUGAGUCUAUAAUUGGAUCUGAACCUUUUUAUGACUUUUUCUAUGAUGUACUUUUCUAAUCAGUGUGACAACUCCUUCUUGUUUGAUAUUUGUGUGCUUUAUAUAUGAGAAAUUCUUCUUUCAAAAAAGGUUUUACCAACUAUUGAUUGACUUCGAAUCCCUUUUAAUAAGGUUUGACUGAUUGUUAUUGAUUUUUUCUUUGAUUGAACCUUCUUUACCUUUUCCUGACUUGGUUCAUUCGGACAAAGUCUGUAAUUUUGAUUUUACUGGUUGUUUGAUUGAUUCCAUUUCCUUAUUUGUCACAAAUUAUGUACCACUGAACUUUUGCCAUAAAUUAACCCUUGUAUUUUCCUUUAUUUUACUGCUUUGGAAAAGAUUUUAAUCAACUCUUUCCUUAAUUUCCUUAUACCUGUUUGAAAUUAGAAUCCCUUAAUUAAAAGGAGAUUGAUUUCAAUGUUAUUUUCUUACCCUUUCUUACUUUCUUUCUGCACUGCAAAGGGCACGACCCUUCUGGACGUUGACAGACUUGGAAUUCAAUACUUUUACACACCUCCCAGUCUAAUACUCUUUAAGACACUCUCAAUUACUC